Cyanistes caeruleus (blue tit) is the source of this 3270-nucleotide non-coding RNA. Lineage: Eukaryota; Metazoa; Chordata; Aves; Passeriformes; Paridae. The record is from RefSeq and is a predicted model, not a curated record.
UAAAUCAGAUAUCAUGUGCUUGGGAAAAUAUGAUAGUUGACUCCCUACAUGCAAGAUAGUUGCAAUUCAUAUUUUAUGUGAUAUUCAGCGAUACUCACUUAUACAGAUGAAGUUAUGUGCUUCUCUUGUGGCAAAGACAAAGGAAGUUUUAAAUCACUAUUUAGUACUCUUUCAUCUAGGCACAUGUUAUUUUGAAACGCUUCAGUUUUUAACACCGCAGUGCAGCACUGAUGUAAUGAAGAGCUUUGACUUUCUUGAAGUAUAACCCAGUGGCCUUCUUUUGAUGCCUUUUCCACAGCUAUUUCUGCUGCAGCUUCCUGUCCUUGACCCAGCCAUGCAUUGUGAAGUUCUCCUGAGUCAAUGAAUCCUGGUAAAAUGCAGUAAAGGAUUUAAGGUUAUCGUCUGUCUCUCUCUAACUUCUGACAUCUCUUUAUAACAAGAAAGAGUCACAGCCAACUGUAACAGGAGGGCAACACAAUGAAUCCUGGAGGAAUAUAUACAUGCGGCAGCAGCACUCAGGACAUGAAGAGCUACUUUGAAAGUUGAUGCAUUUCCCAGUGUCUGAGAUGAAGAUGGAAAGUAGAGAAUGAGAAAAUUUGCUGUCCCUGCAGAGAAUCUUGUUCUACUUGCUGGAUAUAUCUGCAAGAAGCUGGAACCCAAGGGUAUGGUUCCUUCUGAAGAGGUGGUUAACGCACUGCCUGCGGACCAGCAAAGUUCAGGACAGAGAAUACCUAGAGGAGAGGAUCCAGGAUUUUAAAAUUACAGGAGGAGGAAAGAUCCUCUGAGUCUGACUGUAAAAUUUCUGACAGCACUUGGCUCUUCUGUGCUGCUAUAGGGAGUGCUUCUGAAUUUCAUCUGCAAGGCACUGAGAACAGAGGGUACUCGGGACUUAGCAGAAAUUAUUCUCCCUUUUGAAGGAUCAAGCUCUUGGAGAGCACCCACUGUUAGGCAUAUGACCUCUUCAGAGAAACAUAUUGUACUUAUGUACAAUGAGAAGGGGUUUGAAGCACUCUGAUGACUGGAAGGAUAUGCAAGUACAACUGAUAUCCCCUGAUGACAUUUGCUUACUUUAACUGCUUGCACAAGAUUCAGUUAUGUGCAUCAGCAGAGCAGAAAGGAACAGCAUACAUCCUGCAGAGCUGGAAAAUGCCUUCGUUGACUUUUCAGUAUCCACAGCUUUGACAUGGAGAGGUGCACAUCCAGUGGCCAGAUGUAACUGCAGUCAGCUGUGGCCACUCCAAGCUGGAAAUGAGUGUCUGAGCAUCCUGAUCACUAAUCCUUCCACUGCAGUGCCUGUGUUCUGGCUGCUCUCUUGGUCUAAAUAAGCUGCAGAGCUCAGAGCUGGCGGAAUUCAGUGCCUUAACAGCACUUUCUCUCCAGCCUGUGCUGUAGGUGUUUUAUGAGAACAUGGAGCUGCAUGUCACAGUACCAUUUUUCUGUGGGUUAAAGGAGACUGUUCUAACACUCCCAGCUUCUGCUGCCCAGUCAUUCUCUCUUUGUAAUUAGCAUGAAGACUACCCUUCAGUCAAAACUAGCCACCUGGAAAGUUUCAGCUUGUAAUAUGCAGCUUUUUUUGUGAAUUAUGAAUGUGCAAAAAAGAGACCUUUCUCCUUACACCCACUUCCUUGCAUAAUUCAAAUAUGAAUGAAUGAAUUUUAUUCAGGCUUGCCAAAAAAAAUAAAAAAUCAUAUUUCAGCUGAUAACAAGCAUGAAAAAUUUCAGAUGAAAGGGAUUUUUUUUUUUUUAAAAGAAUAUUCUGAGCAUGGGAGAACAGCAGGUUAAGACAGAAGUCUCAGUGCAGCCUUAACUAUAACAAUUGCUAUCAAGCAAAUACUAUAUCCAAGCACUAAAUCUUGCUUUGUGCUGCCCUGGUGCACAGUAGCAGGGACAGAGUAGAAUAAUAAAAGCUGGUCCCCUUAUGCAAACAGCAGGGCACAGCACUUGACAGAAUACAAGAAGAAGGUGAGCCUGCCUACUGUUCUGGCUUUGCUAACCAUAUUCCCAAGGUCUGUGGGUUAGUUGUCACCUCUAGCUCCAGUCAGAUAGCGAAAGGUACUUCAAACACUAGCAAAGGGAAUGUUUUGGUCCUUUCCAGAAGAACAUUUUACCAAUUCCUUUCCUCCAAGCAUACUGUUCUAUUAAAUAAAGUACUUGAAGGAAUGCAUACAAGCAACAUCAUGGUUUAACGGGUCAAAAAGGGAAUAGAAUCAGUGCCAGGCAUUUUUCUGAUUAACCAUGUAUUUUAAAAAUAUAUAUCUGUGAAAAAGGUAUUAUCUGCGCAAAGCAGAAUGAGAUUUGGGCUCAUGCCAGUACCACUUUGGAAAUAAACCAUCACAGUGAAGAAAAGUUACCAUCUGGAACAUUUCUGCGUCAUAUUUUCUCUUGUUCCUAAUAAUGCUUUCCUGAUAAGUCCAGCUCUCCUUUUCUACUCAGAAAACAGGAUAAAAACUCCCUUUCAUUUACUCUGUGUUUGUUAAAAAAAAUGCCCAUUACAGUGGCUAAAUAGUAGUGAAUACUAAAGUAUUACCUUGCAGAUCCACACCGAUUAGAGGAUCAACAUAGAGGAUUUGCAAGUGGCAAGCUAGACAUAAAAAAAAUCCCCUUCUAGUCUGACAUAAGUUGACUGUUGCAAGUUGAGCUUGGCAGCAAGUGACCAAAAUUGAGUUGUCAGCAUCCUCCUAUAUAGUGGAAGAAGUUGUUGCUUUCUUGUGCAGAUGCAAGAGUUUCUGUGGGAAAACAGAACAUAAUCAUGGUUCUGAAUGUCUCUGUGGAUUGGUAAUGUCUCUAAUACAUAGAUCACUUGUGCAAAUUCAGUCCCAGCUGGAUGGGAAAUUAUUGAAAAUGGUUGUUGUUUGAUUGAUAUAAAAUGAGUUGUCAGCUUGAUUCAAUGCCUUCAGGGCAGAUGUCCACAGCAUAAUUGGCACCUGGCAGAAGUAAAGAAUUCCUUGGUACAGAGAAACUGCUACUCAUGCAACCACCCAAAACAGUCCUGGAAUGCCAUGGCAGAAAAAAAAAUAAUUUUACUUCUGGGCAGGAUCUUUUAUGCCAUAAAGUCAAUAAGAGAUUUGACGUGACACUUGGUGCAAGCUUUUCCCUGGGAUCCUGGCUAGACACUAUCAACUUUUCUGCUGUUUGGUCAAUACUUUCCCUAAUAAUUAGAAGAAAACUCAUGUAUUUGGUUACUUACUAUUAUUGUCAUGGUAAAGGUGUGUCUUUAAUAAAGAAACAUUUACAUGUUUGCUUGUACAAAAAAUUCUGUGAAUAAUUUUG